UACGAAGGGGGCUAGCGUUGCUCGGAAUCACUGGGCGUAAAGCGCACGUAGGCGGCCAACUAAGUCAGACGUGAAAUCCCUCGGCUUAACCGGGGAACUGCAUCUGAUACUGGAUGGCUUGAGUUCGGGAGAGGGAUGCGGAAUUCCAGGUGUAGCGGUGAAAUGCGUAGAUAUCUGGAGGAACACCGGUGGCGAAGGCGGCAUCCUGGACCGACACUGACGCUGAGGAGCGAAAGCCAGGGGAGCAAACGGG
This 253-nucleotide ribosomal RNA is filed under the name uncultured bacterium. RNAcentral's name for it is "partial 16S ribosomal RNA". It matches the Rfam family "Bacterial small subunit ribosomal RNA", at positions 524 to 776 of the family's 1533-position model. The record is from RNAcentral.